This 2702-nucleotide unclassified non-coding RNA is filed under the name Leishmania donovani. Its description in RNAcentral is "gene:LdHU3.32.3150(CDS-product:hypothetical_prote in_conserved)". The record is from RNAcentral. Lineage: Eukaryota; Euglenozoa; Kinetoplastea; Trypanosomatida; Trypanosomatidae.
CAGAAAAGUGGUGGGCAAGGUGGUCGCAAGACUCACGCACAUUCGCGUGUGCCUGUGCGUGUGCGGACGUGUGCUUGCUGGUGUGCGGCUAGAUCGGCCCGACGUCGAAAAAGCGGGAAUAAGCGAAACGGCGCAUCCUACCGGCUCGACAAGGCUGCACCUUACUUGAGCUAAACGGCGAGAGAGAGCGCACAGGCAACACGGGCAGGCUGUGCGGCCAUCGACAUCCCCUAGCGGAGGUGCCUGUUUCUUUGACGGUUUGGUGAGUUUCGUAAUUUGCUGCCUUGAUCGACUCCACCGUCGCACCUUCUCCGCAUGAUUCCGCGCUACGACGGCCUUGUACCCGCCAUUCGGGGGCCGGCGUCUGUGUGUGCCGUUGCCUCCGCCAAUGCAACGCCAUCGUCAACGACGAUGCGCACGGCAGCGGCCACCGCAGUGACCCGCUAUGUCAUUUGCCCUGUCGAAACGGUCGGCAGGGAGAAUGCGCACCUGAACGCGGCUGCGGAGCACGAGCGGCGUCUGUUUGCGUUCCUUCCCUCUGUCGACUGCGCCACGCCCCCGCGUGAGCUGCGCGUCUCCUCCCAUUACUUUGAAGACUCGCUGGAUGCAUCUGUCGCAGGCAGCGAUGCCGAGAGCGGCGAGGACUUGGAUGAGGAUGAGGAAAGCCACACCACGGCUAGGCGCGGCAACCCGCGCGAAGAUAGCGCGCACGGCAGCAACAGCGGCAGUCGCAAGCGGCGCCGUGCGCGUCGGCGAGAGCCAAUGCGACUCGAGUACGACGGCUUCCUCACGCCGUCGGCCACGGAAGCUACCAAGUGUGUGCGGCUUGUUUCCACACCGGCCUCCGAGUACAGUCAUCUGACGUGUGUGUUGCUGCAGCUGCCCACGACGUGGCGUGAACAGGACAUCGAUGAGGGUGAGGGGCAUGGGAGGACGGCGUGCUUGUCGUCUUCGUCCACGUCAAAGCCACUCAUCACCUCCAUACCGCUCCGACGGCCGAUACUGCAACUGUGGGGCGAGAGGAACACGGCUGCUGCCGGCCCGAACGAUGGAUCUCUCUUCUCCGGCAGCAGUGCCGCUAGCAUCUCGGCCGCCUGGGGCUCUGACACACCUCUGAGAAUCAGCACGAAAGACUGGAAGACAAUGGAUGCGGCCGAGGCGGAUCUGCAUAAGCCCACCAACUGGUCGGACGAUGACGGCGGUGACGUCAGCGACGAAGGCCGAGGAAAGUCGUCAAAGGGCGCAGACGACACCAUCUCUGCACGCGCACGCAAGCGAGAAAGAGAGGAGGCGACGAACGUCGCGGUGCGCUCCUUCCUCGCCGGCGCGAAGGAAGCCCUGCGGCAGCAAGGCGCCGUCGGCACUGCGGAUGGGUUCGCGCAGCCGCAGCCGGCGGUGCGCAGGGACAACGCUGCACCUGUGAGCGCGCGAGUGGAGACCUCUGCACCGGUAAAGGCAGCUGCAAAGCGGGCGGCCGUAACUGUGCCGCUAUCGUCCGAUUCUUCGGGAUCAAGGGUGCGGCCAUCAGUCGCCACCCCUGCAGUGCCCCCAACCCGGAUUCUUACUACUAACUCUGCGGGACCGCUGCCGUCUUCUGGUGCUGCGCCGCCAGAUGGCUCCGCGUCAUUGGACUCACUGGCGUGCACCGUGGUGGCAGGAAUGCAGUCGACUGAGGCGCGUAGAAUGGCGACGCUGAUGGAGCUGCAGAAGCGGAUUCUGAAGCAGCUGCCGGAGUUCGCUGCCAUGAGCCAAAAAAUCAAGUCGACCGCAACGAAGCAGGAGGCUGUAGCGUGGUUUCAAACAUCGCAACAGGCACUGCGGGUGUGGCUGGUGGAGCAUGGCCACACCAUCAACUCCGAUGGGACGGUUACCUUCGGGGAUGUGUAAAGCGAACAAGCGCUGAGAAACGCUGGCUUGAAAAGCCAGCGAUGAGGGUGUGAGAGGUGGAGAAGGGGCAAAGAAGAUGAACCCCCAUGGCAGCGCCGCACGCGCGUGCUUGCUGGCGUUUGCGUGCGACGCUCCUCUCUCUUUUUCUCUCUCGCUCGCUCUGUCGGUGCGUAUCUCUGAGGCCGCUGCUGGCUGCUGCCCCCCUCUCCUUCUUCCGUGUUAUCGCGUCAUACGUUUUUGUGUUGCCGUGGGGUGCACAUCGGCGGGGCGCACGGGCGAGCGGCGGGGCAAAACGAAAGGAAAGCGCGCGAUGGAGCGUGACAGGACAGGUCUCACCUCCACCACAACGUGAAAACAGAACGUCGCACCGAGGAUACAUGCGCGGCUCGAAUACACACCUUCAUUUUACAUGGGUACAUGUGCUGGCGCGUCCACCGGUGACGACCACCUACUCGAGCGACGACUGGCACGGCGGGGGGGGGUUGUAGUACGCAGCGAUGUUGGCAUGCAAACGGCUGCUGUUGUACCGCUGUCUCUCCCCCCUUCGCGUUUGUGUGACGUGCGUAGGCGCAUCUCUGCGGGCAGGAGAAUGAAGCGACCAAAAGGUGACGUAGCCUUGGGUUGCCGCGUGGCCGCAUGAGCGCGUCGUUUGUGGCUGCUCUACACCCAUCCCUUAUUGCUCUUCUCCGUUGCACUCGACUGCCAUUUUUCCUCCCCUUUGUUUGCCCCCUCGGUAUGUUGUUUGCGCGCCGCGCUAUACACGACCGGCACGGCUGCUUGCCACGCAUGAACGCGAUUCACCGUCGAUGUUCAAG